GAGAAAGAGAGUGAGAGGAGAGAGUAGCUCUGAAGGUGAAAGCCCAAGAAGGAGUUCUUGAGCUGUGAAGGUCCAUCUUCUUCCCUCUCCCUUUCAGCCAACCUUCUGCCUCCCUGCGAGCUAGCACUUCCCGGGAAGUUGAUCAUUCCAGAGCUUCGCGUGGACGAGUCAUCGAGGCCGGACACUUGUGCGGCUGCGAAGCAUCCUUGAAGGAA
Molecule: long non-coding RNA, 215 nt
Filed under: Phoenix dactylifera (date palm)
Lineage: Eukaryota; Viridiplantae; Streptophyta; Magnoliopsida; Arecales; Arecaceae
Description: long non-coding RNA (PDAC_LNC015133)
Source: RNAcentral